Molecule: ribosomal RNA, 588 nt
Filed under: Vibrio parahaemolyticus
Lineage: Bacteria; Pseudomonadati; Pseudomonadota; Gammaproteobacteria; Vibrionales; Vibrionaceae
Description: partial 23S ribosomal RNA
Rfam family: Bacterial large subunit ribosomal RNA
Source: RNAcentral
CUGCGUACCUUUUGUAUAAUGGGUCAGCGACUUAUAUUCAGUGGCAAGGUUAACCAUCUAGGGGAGCCGUAGGGAAACCGAGUCUUAACUGGGCGCUCAGUCUCUGGAUAUAGACCCGAAACCAGGUGAUCUAGCCAUGGGCAGGUUGAAGGUUGAGUAACAUCAACUGGAGGACCGAACCGACUAAUGUUGAAAAAUUAGCGGAUGACUUGUGGCUAGGGGUGAAAGGCCAAUCAAACCUGGAGAUAGCUGGUUCUCCCCGAAAGCUAUUUAGGUAGCGCCUCGGACGAAUACUACUGGGGGUAGAGCACUGUUAAGGCUAGGGGGUCAUCCCGACUUACCAACCCUUUGCAAACUCCGAAUACCAGUAAGUACUAUCCGGGAGACACACGGCGGGUGCUAACGUCCGUCGUGGAGAGGGAAACAACCCAGACCGCCAGCUAAGGUCCCAAAUUACUACUAAGUGGGAAACGAUGUGGGAAGGCUCAGACAGCCAGGAUGUUGGCUUAGAAGCAGCCAUCAUUUAAAGAAAGCGUAAUAGCUCACUGGUCGAGUCGGCCUGCGCGGAAGAUGUAACGGGGCUAAGUA